UCCUCCUGCACUCUCUGCAGCCUCGGAUUUGUGUGAACGCCACAUCCCUCCUGGGGGCUUCCUCCCGACCUGCAGGUGCCCAGGAGCCCUCCCGCACCCCUGAAGAGGAAGGUCCUCAGAGCUUCAGUCCCCUGCUUCACUCCAGGUUCACAUCCCUUUGGUGGCUGGCCCAGAUCUUCCUGCUCCAACACUGCCUUUCUGGGACCUCAGUCUCCACCUUCCGUCCAGCAGCUCUCCGUGAUACCUGAGCUUCCCAAACCCAGCCCUGGCUGACUUUAAGCUUAGAACUAGAGCCUCCUUCCCUUGGACAUCUCACCUGGGCUGCUUCUCUUGCUCUCUAACCGCCACCCGCAGCCCACCCUGCUUCUAGCGGCCACGGAACCAGGGUGCCCUCAUAUUCCUGCUACUCCCUUCUUUCCUGCUGUCACAGCCUGAAGAUAAAUCCUCAUUUAGGAAGACCAGGAUGGAGUUUACAGGGCCUGGGGAACUAGUGAACCCUGAAUCCAGAGAAGCAGGGAGGGUGCUCUGGGGGAGCCUCAGCCCAAGGGCAGGUUGCAGGGGGUUCUGCUGGAGUGUUCCCCCUCUCUGGUGCUGCAAUAGUCCAGCCAAGAGGAAGGAGCCCGGGGUCCAGACAGGAGCGUCCCACUUAGUUUCUCCUCUGUCACUAACUAGGAGUGUGACUUUGGUUCAGUCACUUACCCUCUUUGAGUUACGUUUCUUAGUCUGCUCAGAAAGUUCUGCCCUUCUAUAAGAGUUGGAUUAGUUUAAAGCUCCUUUGCCUGGUGCUGCGCCCUCAGCUCCUGGGGAACUUGGAGAAAAUGCACAAACGGGGCAAGGCCCAUGAAUGUGCUCACAUCUUUAAAGCUCCCAAAGUGAUUCUCAUCUGUGAGACACUGAACCAGGUAAUUUGAGUUCCUGUCUGGCCUGAGCCUUGAUUCCAUCACAUGUGGACUUCCACAAUUAGAGGUACUCCCAGUUUUUAUCAGCCCAUUGACUCCAAACCCCUGUCUACUUAUCCUACUGUGAUAUUGCUUUCACCUUCAUUGUGCCACUCUUCACUUUUCUACUCAAGAACCAUCAAUAGCUCGUAUUUAUUUUUAAUUGAGUCAGGGUCUUGCUCUGUCUCCCAGGCUGGAGUGCAACGGCAUGAUCACUGCAGCCUCAAACUCCUGGGCUCAAGUGAUUCUCUCACCUCAGACUUCCAAGCAGCCAGGACUACAGGUGUGCACUGCCAUGCCUGGCUCAUAUUUUUUAUGUUUUCAGACAUGGGGUCUUGCUGUGUUGCCCAGGCUGGUCUUGAACUCCUGGCCUCAAGCAAUUCUCCCACCCAGCUUCCUGAGCCACUGGGAUUAUAGACAUGAGCCACAGUGCCCAGCCCAGCACCCUAUUAUUUAUAAGAAAAAACAGGUUCUAGCUGCAUCUGAGGCUCACCCCAACCUAGUCCAACUUUCUUUCUCCCAGGCAUGGACCUUCCACUUCAGCCAAGUUGCUGUCCUUCCUUUUCCUGCUGCAAGGUCUUCUCAGCCUGGAAUGUCUUCCCAUCCUCCACCACACCCUCUUCAGAACUGACAUCUACACCUUUCUCAAAAUGCAGCACAGAUUAAUGUUUUUUGACAAAUUCCCAAUGUAUGCGGAUCUUUUAGCAUAAACUCCUAUAGCACGUUCUGUUAACACUUUUGUACUUAUUUGUAACUUGCCUUUAUACUGUUCUUUUAAUUCUUUGUUCUGGCUCAUAUUAAUGUCAUCACAAACAGA
Long non-coding RNA from Sapajus apella (tufted capuchin), 1755 nucleotides. RefSeq lists it as uncharacterized. NCBI's taxonomy places the organism in Eukaryota, Metazoa, Chordata, Mammalia, Primates, Cebidae. The record is from RefSeq and is a predicted model, not a curated record. The transcript is spliced from 2 exons.